Molecule: ribosomal RNA, 409 nt
Filed under: uncultured soil bacterium
Lineage: Bacteria
Description: bacterial SSU rRNA
Rfam family: Bacterial small subunit ribosomal RNA
Source: RNAcentral
AGAUUGAACGCUGGCGGCAUGCCUUACACAUGCAAGUCGAACGGUAGAGUAGCAGUACUCGAGAGUGGCGAACGGGUGAGUAAUAUAUCGGAACGUGCCCAGUCGUGGGGGAUAACGUAGAGAAAUUUACGCUAAUACCGCAUACGAUCUAAGGAUGAAAGCGGGGGAUCGCAAGACCUCGCGCGAUUGGAGCGGCUGAUAUCAGAUUAGGUUGUUGGUGAGGUAAAAGCUCACCAAGCCGACGAUCUGUAGCUGGUUUGAGAGAACGACCAGCCACACUGGGACUGAGACACGGCCCAGACUCCUACGGGAGGCAGCAGUGGGGGAAUUUGGACAAUGGGCGAAAGCCUGAUCCAGCAAUGCCGCGUGCAGGAAGAAGGCCUCGGGUUGUAAACUAGUCGUUUGUUAC